RNAcentral lists this small RNA (126 nucleotides) under Marmota monax (woodchuck). The record is from RNAcentral. Lineage: Eukaryota; Metazoa; Chordata; Mammalia; Rodentia; Sciuridae.
GCUGGGCAUAGUGGCGCAUGCCUGUAAUCCCAGCUGUUUGAGAGGCUGAGGCAUGAGGAUCAUGAGUUCAAAAAUCAGUUUCAGCAAAAGUGAGGUGCUAAGCAACUCAGUGAGACCCUCUCUCUU